GUUGUUUGCUGUUGUUUGCUGUUGUUUGCUGUUGUUUGCUGUUGUUUGCUGUUGUUUGCUGUUGUUUGCUGUUGUUUGCUGUUGUUUGUUGUUGUUUGCUGUUGUUUGUUGUUGUUUGUUGUUUGUUGUUUGUUGUUUGUUGUUUGUUGUUUGUUGUUUGUUGUUUGUUGUUUGUUGUUUGUUGUUUGUUGGUUGUUGGUUGUUGUUUGUUGUUUGUUGGUUGUUGGUUGUUGGUUGUUGGUUGUUGGUUGUUGGUUGUUGGUUGUUGUUUGUUGGUUGUUGGUUGUUGUUUGUUGUUUGUUGGUUGUUGGUUGUUGGUUGUUGGUUGUUGGUUGUUGGUUGUUGGUUGUUGGUUGUUGGUUGUUGGUUGUUGGUUGUUGGU
Paramuricea clavata is the source of this 382-nucleotide non-coding RNA. The record is from the annotation of a GenBank genome assembly. Lineage: Eukaryota; Metazoa; Cnidaria; Anthozoa; Malacalcyonacea; Plexauridae.